RNAcentral lists this ribosomal RNA (1742 nucleotides) under Meloidogyne arenaria. Its description in RNAcentral is "SSU rRNA". It matches the Rfam family "Eukaryotic small subunit ribosomal RNA". The record is from RNAcentral. Lineage: Eukaryota; Metazoa; Nematoda; Chromadorea; Rhabditida; Meloidogynidae.
UCUGGUUGAUCCUGCCUGAACUGAUGUGUUUAUUUCAAAGAUUAAGCCAUGCAUGUAUAAGUUUAAUCGUUUAUCGAGAAACCGCGAACGGCUCAUUACAAUGGCCAUUAUUUACUUGAUCUUGAUUGUCUAAAUGGAUAACUGUGGAAAAGCUAGAGCUAAUACAUGCACUAAAGCUUUGUCCUUACGGAAAAGCGCAUUUAUUAGAACAAAACCACGCGGCUUCGGCUGCUUCUUGUUGACUCAGAAUAACUUAGCUGACCGCAUGGCCUUGUGCCGGCGGCGUGUCUUUCAAGCGUCCACUUUAUCAACUUGACGGGAGCAUAAUCGACUCCCGUGGUGGUGACGGAUAACGGAGGAUCAGGGUUCGACUCCGGAGAAGGGCCUGAAAAUGGCCACUACGUCUAAGGAUGGCAGCAGGCGCGCAAAUUACCCACUCUCGGCUCGAGGAGGUAGUGACGAGAAAUAACGAGACUGUUCUCUUUGAGGCCGGUCAUCGGAAUGGGUACAAUUUAAACCCUUUAACGAGUAUCAAGCAGAGGGCAAGUCUGGUGCCAGCAGCCGCGGUAAUUCCAGCUCUGCAAAUACAUAGAAUUAUUGCUGCGGUUAGAAAGCUCAUAGUUGGAUUCGUAUCGAUACCUUGGAACCCUUCGGGUGUCUCUAUUGUUAUCGAUUUAUCGUAAUGUUCGGUUUUGAGUCCUUAACAGGAUUCUUAACAGGCAUUGCAAGUUUACUUUGAACAAAUCAGAGUGCUUCAAACAGGCGUUUUCGCUUGAAUGAUCGUGCAUGGAAUAAUAGAAAAUGAUUUCGGUUCAGUUUUAUUGGUUUUACGGACUGAGAUAAUGGUUAACAGAGACAAACGGGGGCAUUUGUAUGGUCCCGUGAGAGGUGAAAUUCUUGGACGUGCCAGACAAACUACAGCGAAAGCAUUUGCCAAGAAUGUUUUUAUUAAUCAAGAACGAAAGUCAGAGGUUGAAGGCGAUCAGAUACCGCCCUAGUUCUGACCGUAAACGAUGCCAACUAGCGAUCCGCCGAUGGAAAUUAUAUUGCUUGUGGGGAGCUUCCCGGAACGAAAGUCUUCCGGUUCCGGGGGAAGUAUGGUUGCAAAGCUGAACUUAAAGAAUUGACGGAAGGGCACCACCAGGAGUGGAGCCUGCGGCUUAAUUUGACUCAACACGGGGAAACUCACCGGCCGGACACUGUGAGGAUUGACAGAUUGAUAGCUUUUUCAUGAUUCAGUGGAUGGUGGUGCAUGGCCGUUCUUAGUUCGUGGAGUGAUUUGUCUGUUUAUUCGAUAACGAGCGAGACUCUAACCUACUAAAUAGUUGGUACAUACUCUUAGUGUAUACAGCUUCUUAGAGGAUUUGCGGCGUUCAGCCGAAAGAAAUUGAGCAAUAACAGGUCUGUGAUGCCUUAGAUGUCCGGGCUGCACGCGCGCUACACUGGCAAAUCAACGUGCUUGUCCUACCCUGAAAGGGGCGGUAAACAUUGAAAAUUUGCCGUGAUUGGGAUCGAAAUUGCAAUUAUUUUCCGUGAACGAGAAUUCCAAGUAAGUGCGAGUCAUCAGCUCGCGUUGAUUACGUCCCUGCCUUUUACACACGCCGUCGCUGCCGGGACUGAGCCAUUUCGAGAAAUUUGGGGACCUUGAUUUAAUUUUCUAAAUUACUUUGAUGGAAACAAUUUAAUCGCAGUGGCUUAACGGGCAAAAGUCGUAACAAGGUAGCUGUAGUGAACUGCUGCUG